AACGUUACAUUUGUCCUACAGUAAAAUGGCAGGUAAAGGUACUUAAAACUCUAUUGUCAAGAAAAUGCAUAUAAACCUUCGGCGGCCUCGAAACUUGUCCGCAGUCAAUAUGAAGCUCGGAGCUCCCCGGAACAAAAAAAAAAUACGGAAGCACGUGCACAAUGCUCCAGAAGGACUGCAAUACCCCACGAUAAGACUUACAUGAAUGCAGCCGAGAAAGUGGCGUGACUACUGGCCUGCCAGAAACACAAAUUCUCCGCUGGUGAGAGAGAGAAAACAAUUGCUCUGUGUGAUUGGAAGCAACAAACGAUUCGACACUGGAUGGAGUGAAAGUAUCACACGAAACGACACCAAUGUCAAUGAGAAGUGCCAUGAAGCUGAAGCUCCAACGUUCCACUCGGAGGCGUGUCGGGGUGGGCACGCUACUCGCAGAAACACGACAUCC
Long non-coding RNA from Hippocampus comes (tiger tail seahorse), 445 nucleotides. RefSeq lists it as uncharacterized. The transcript is spliced from 3 exons. NCBI's taxonomy places the organism in Eukaryota, Metazoa, Chordata, Actinopteri, Syngnathiformes, Syngnathidae. The record is from RefSeq and is a predicted model, not a curated record.